GCCUGCCGGUGACGCAAGUUUAACGGCCGCGGUAUUUUGACCGUGCAAAGGUAGCGUAAUCAAUCGUCUUUUAAAUGAAGCCUUGUAUGAAUGGUAAUACGAAAACUCAACUGUCUCAUUCUUUUAACCAAUGAAAUUGAUUUCUCCGUGCGGAAGCGGGGAUAAAAACAUAAGACAAAAAGACCCUGUGGAGCUUCAGACAAAUCAGCUUAAAAUUUUAUAAUAAAUAAACUUUUAACUCUGCUUACAUCUUAGGUUGGGGCGAUCGCGGAGAAAAUAUAUCCUCCAUGAAGAAAAAUAUACAUUUUUAUAAUUAAGAGCUACCGCUCUAGAUAUUAAAACAUUUAACUUUAUGAACCGGCUUACCGAAUAACGAACCCAGUUACCCCAGGGAUAACAGCGCAAUCCUCUUAAAGAGCACAUAUUACUAAGGGGGCUUACGACCUCGAUGUUGGAUCAGGGCAUCCUAAUGGCGCAGCCGCUAUUAAGGGUUCGUUUGUUCAACGAUUAAAGCCCUACGUGAUCUGA
This 528-nucleotide ribosomal RNA is filed under the name Hypsolebias hellneri. RNAcentral's name for it is "partial 16S ribosomal RNA". It matches the Rfam family "Bacterial large subunit ribosomal RNA", at positions 1857 to 2608 of the family's 2925-position model. The record is from RNAcentral. Lineage: Eukaryota; Metazoa; Chordata; Actinopteri; Cyprinodontiformes; Rivulidae.